GCAGUGGUGGUUCAGCGGUAGAACUCUCACCUUCCAUAUAGGAGACCCUGGCUCGAUCUCUGGCCAAUGCA
This 71-nucleotide transfer RNA is filed under the name Loxodonta africana (African savanna elephant). It matches the Rfam family "tRNA". From Rfam's summary of the family: Transfer RNA (tRNA) molecules are approximately 80 nucleotides in length. The record is from Rfam by way of RNAcentral. Lineage: Eukaryota; Metazoa; Chordata; Mammalia; Proboscidea; Elephantidae.